GACAGUCGCUGCCCUCUAUGAAAAUUAGGGGGGGGAGGAAAGUCCGGGCUCCAUAGGGCGAAGUGCCAGGUAAUGCCUGGGAGGCGUGAGCCUACGGAAAGUGCCACAGAAAAUAACCGCCUAAGCACUUCGGUGCCGGUAAGGGUGAAAAGGUGCGGUAAGAGCGCACCGCACGACUGGCAACAGUUCGUGGCUAGGUAAACCCCACUUGGAGCAAGACCAAAUAGGGUCCCAAGGCGUGGCCCGCGCUGGGACCGGGUA
RNAcentral lists this RNase P RNA (261 nucleotides) under Klebsiella pneumoniae. RNAcentral describes it as "partial RNase P RNA component class A". It matches the Rfam family "Bacterial RNase P class A", at positions 12 to 273 of the family's 367-position model. From Rfam's summary of the family: Ribonuclease P (RNase P) is a ubiquitous endoribonuclease, found in archaea, bacteria and eukarya as well as chloroplasts and mitochondria. Lineage: Bacteria; Pseudomonadati; Pseudomonadota; Gammaproteobacteria; Enterobacterales; Enterobacteriaceae. The record is from RNAcentral.